Molecule: ribosomal RNA, 253 nt
Filed under: uncultured bacterium
Lineage: Bacteria
Description: partial 16S ribosomal RNA
Rfam family: Bacterial small subunit ribosomal RNA
Source: RNAcentral
UACGAAGGGGACUAGCGUUGUUCGGAAUCACUGGGCGUAAAGCGCACGUAGGCGGAUUCGUAAGUCAGGGGUGAAAUCCCGGGGCUCAACCUCGGAACUGCCUUUGAUACUGCGGGUCUUGAGUCCGAUAGAGGUGGGUGGAAUUCCUAGUGUAGAGGUGAAAUUCGUAGAUAUUAGGAAGAACACCGGUGGCGAAGGCGGCCAUCUGGACGGAUACUGACGCUGAGACGCGAAAGCGUGGGGAGCAAACAGG